AUUGAACGCUGGAGGCAGGCUUAACACAUGCAAGUAGAGCGAGCGGCGGACGGGUGAGUAAUGUCUGGGAAACUGCCUGAUGGAGGGGGAUAACUACUGGAAACGGUAGCUAAUACCGCAUACCAUCAGAUGUGCCCAGAUGGGAUUAGCUAGUAGGUGGGGUAAUGGUUCACCUAGGCGACGAUCCCUAGCUGGUAUGCGAGGAUGACCGGCCACACUGGAACUGAGACACGCUCCAGACGCCGACGUGAUUCAGCAGUGGGGUAUAUUGCACAAGGGGCGCAAGCCGGAUUCAGCCAUGCCGCGUGUGUGAAGAAGGCCUUCGGGUUGUAAAGCCCUUUCAGCGAGGAGGCGUUACUCGCAGAAGAAGCACAGGCUAACUCCGUGCCAGCAGCCUCGGGAAUAC
RNAcentral lists this ribosomal RNA (406 nucleotides) under uncultured bacterium. RNAcentral describes it as "partial 16S ribosomal RNA". It matches the Rfam family "Bacterial small subunit ribosomal RNA", at positions 30 to 526 of the family's 1533-position model. The record is from RNAcentral.